This 349-nucleotide ribosomal RNA is filed under the name Myurellopsis kilburni. Its description in RNAcentral is "partial 12S ribosomal RNA". The record is from RNAcentral. Lineage: Eukaryota; Metazoa; Mollusca; Gastropoda; Neogastropoda; Terebridae.
UACCAGAGUACUAUGAAUAUUAAAAAAUUUAAAACUCAAAGAACUUGGCGGUGUUUUAGACCACUUAGGGGAACCUGUCUCGUAAUCGAUAGUCCACGUUGUAUCUGACCUUUCUUUGUUUACAGUUUGUAUACCGUUGUCGUCAGUUAACUUUUUAGAAACUAGAAGUUAGCAACAGAAAUAGAUGAUUUAAUACGUCAAAUCAAGGUGCAGCUAAUGGAAAGGGGAGGAUGGGUUACAAUUAUGUUAUUUAUAAUACGGAAAAUCGUAUGAAAAUAUGUUGAUUUUAAGGCGGACUUGAAAGUAAAUUAGGUUAUAUGAAUAAUUUGAAUUAGGCUCUGAAACGUGU